GCCAGGGUAGCUCAGUUGGUUAGAGCAUAGCCUUCAUAAGGCUGGGGUCGCGAGUUCGAAUCUCGCCCCUGGUA
Molecule: transfer RNA, 74 nt
Filed under: Candidatus Moraniibacteriota bacterium
Lineage: Bacteria; Candidatus Moraniibacteriota
Description: tRNA-Met
Rfam family: tRNA
About the family: Transfer RNA (tRNA) molecules are approximately 80 nucleotides in length. Their secondary structure includes four short double-helical elements and three loops (D, anti-codon, and T loops). Further hydrogen bonds mediate the characteristic L-shaped molecular structure. tRNAs have two regions of fundamental functional importance: the anti-codon, which is responsible for specific mRNA codon recognition, and the 3' end, to which the tRNAs corresponding amino acid is attached (by aminoacyl-tRNA synthetases). tRNAs cope with the degeneracy of the genetic code in two manners: having more than one tRNA (with a specific anti-codon) for a particular amino acid; and 'wobble' base-pairing, i.e. permitting non-standard base-pairing at the 3rd anti-codon position.
Source: RNAcentral